UGGGGAAUAUUGCACAAUGGGCGCAAGCCUGAUGCAGCCAUGCCGCGUGUAUGAAGAAGGCCUUCGGGUUGUAAAGUACUUUCAGCGGGGAGGAAGGGAGUAAAGUUAAUACCUUUGCUCAUUGACGUUACCCGCAGAAGAAGCACCGGCUAACUCCGUGCCAGCAGCCGCGGUAGUACGGAGGGUGCAAGCGUUAAUCGGAAUUACUGGGCGUAAAGCGCACGCAGGCGGUUUGUUAAGUCAGAUGUGAAAUCCCCGGGCUCAACCUGGGAACUGCAUCUGAUACUGGCAAGCUUGAGUCUCGUAGAGGGGGGUAGAAUUCCAGGUGUAGCGGUGAAAUGCGUAGAGAUCUGGAGGAAUACCGGUGGCGAAGGCGGCCCCCUGGACGAAGACUGACGCUCAGGUGCGAAAGCGUGGGGAGCAAACA
RNAcentral lists this ribosomal RNA (427 nucleotides) under uncultured bacterium. Its description in RNAcentral is "partial 16S ribosomal RNA". It matches the Rfam family "Bacterial small subunit ribosomal RNA", at positions 355 to 774 of the family's 1533-position model. The record is from RNAcentral.